GCUAAAUAUGACCACGAGACCGAUAGCGAACAAGUACCGUGAGGGAAAGUUGAAAAGCACUUUGAAGAGAGAGUUCAAGAGUACGUGAAACCGUUUAGGGGUAAACCUGAGAAACCCGAAAGGUCGAAGGGAGAAAUUCAUUCGCGUUUCGUCGCGGGCGUCGGACGGGGUCGUGUGACGGAGAGCGCGUUCGCGCGCUCUUCGCGCCCCCCGCUCGACGAACCGGUAACGAACGCGUGCACUUUUCUCCCGGUAGGACGUCGCGAUCCGUUGGGUGUCGGUCUACGGCUCGCGGUGGAGCCCGUCCGUACGUUUCGCGACGUACGGGCGGACCCGCGUGUCCCGGCCGACCCGCUCGACGGUAYAAGAAUGGUUUUAGGCCGCUCUCGGAGCGUUCGGCUCGCGGCAAGCGCGCCAUUUGCGCCGGCAAUCGGACCCCGUGCCGAUUCUGGCCUCUGGCGACUGUUGGCCGCGAAGUCCUCGAACAGACCUUCUCUUAAAAACCGAUCUGCGACGCUAUAGCUUUGGGUACUUUCAGGACCCGUCUUGAAACACGGACCAAGGAGUCUAGCGCGUGCGCGAGUCAUUGGGAAAUACUAAACCUAAAGGCGCAAUGAAAGUAAAGGUUCCCCUCGCGGGAACUUAGGGAAGACGGGCGGUUUCACCUUUAAAAGUGGCCGCCCCGCAUUCCCGGGGCGUCUCGUUCUCAUCGCGAGAAGAGGCGCACCAAGAGCGUACGCGCUGGGACCCGAAAGAUGGUGAACUAUG
Molecule: ribosomal RNA, 768 nt
Filed under: Synacalles sp. NZAC 03037715
Lineage: Eukaryota; Metazoa; Arthropoda; Insecta; Coleoptera; Curculionidae
Description: partial large subunit ribosomal RNA
Source: RNAcentral